GGAUCCCUGGACUAUGGCUAGCACAAGCCCCACUGGGUUAGAAUCUUGUCCUCCCACUAGGACCUCUCUGUGGGACAGAGCAGCAAUAUGGUGAGAGGUUUCAAGGCUGUCUAAUCCUGCUGUGCUGUGUAUUGCCUUGUUGCAGGGGAGAGACUGUGCUGGACUAUCAAGGGGCAAACUUUUCCACUUAUUUGCCCCCUGCCUCGGAGCUGUUCCCUAAGGCUUUUCUCUCUCUGACAUUUGUGUGGGGACUGCCCUAUGCCUUCUGUAAAGGGAACUGCUUCCCACUACUACCUGGUUAGUACAAGGAGAGAAAGCUGGAGCAGGGGGCAGAGGCAGCAUUACUACUGUUGAACGAUGUGGGAACCAAAGAGCUGCUCGGAGGACUGCAGAACCAAAGCAGAUUCCUCCUGAAGAAGAAACUUGAGUUCUGAAAUGUGUUGGACUACAACAAAAGUUGGCACUCUUUUGAGAACUAGUCUGUCCUCUUUGAAUUCUGUCUAUGGGUAUGGUAUACUGACUGAACGUAGGAUGUUUCUUACAUAGAGGCAGACCAUUGGUCCAUCUAGGUCAGAAGUGUCUGGAUCCCAAACUCUUUUCCCCAUGGACCACUUGAAAAUUUAUGAAAGUCUUGGCGGACCACUUAAUUAUUUCUUCUCCCUGUUGUAGCCAUUAUAAUGCACUUUGCUAGAUGUUGUAUGAUUUUUAAUUGUAUUUUUGUUUCUUAUAUAUUGUAUUUUACAAUGUGCAUUCCAUAGAAUUCAAACUGUAAUACAAUAACAUACAAUAGAAGAAAUAAAAGGAGUAAAAUAUAAUUAAAAAUAAAUUCACUAAUAGGCAAAAAACCCUUGAGGUUUAAGAACGUACAGUAUGUAUAGCCAACAGAUAUUUCUAUCAAACUUUAAAAAGCAGGGAAUUGGGCAGCUAUAGUGAAUGCACCAGGGGAGCAGGAGACCUGACCUCUCUGAGAUAUUUGACUGCCCUACAAAUUUGUAAAAACGCAAACACAAUUUGGGUUGGUCUUUCACAGUCCAAUCCAUUUCCUGUGUAGAUUGGAAGAAUUUGGUAACAUGUGUCUCUGAGCACAUGGUGAGUGGUGGCAACACCUGCAAUCAGCCCAAAUAACAGAAACAAGACGUGCUAUGCUCAGGGCCAGCACCAGAGGGUUGCCAGGUUUGACCCUGGCCAAGGGCUCCUGCAGCCCAGAGGGGGCCCUUCAGGGGUCCACCUUAGGAUGGGAGAGUAGUGCACUUGUUCCACAAUUUGUGGCAGUGUUGGCUCCCAACCCUGCCACAGAUCGCAGAGAAGGAGCACCCAGGCACCCUCCCAAUACAAUCAGUUUGGGCUUCCAUAAGACUGUCCGCAUGCCCCACUUAUCUUCCCCAUCCCUGUGAAUGAUGUGUGUGCUUUGCGCACAUGCCUGCCAUAAACCAAGAUGAUGGCAGAGGCUUCCUUUAGAGGCUGAUGCUCCUGCUGCCAUCUUGAUUGAUGGUAGGUAUGUGCAUGCCAUGCAUAUAUCAUUCACAGGAACAGGAGAGGUAGGUAGGACAUGCAGGCAAACUUAUUAGGCUUAUCCAUGCCAGCUGUUUGGAGGGGGUUAGGCUAUGGCGUUGCAGGCCUGAGGCAGGCUGUGCCCAAGGGCCCAGUCAUGCCUGUUACCAGCCCUGGCUGUGCUGAUCUUGUUUUAGCAGGGAGGAAGCAACAAUAUUAAGACAGUUGGUAUAGUUCAGAUACUUCAGUUACUUGUUCCCCAUUUCAUCUAUCUUGUUUCGUCUAUGGAUUUCAGUCAGGCUAUCAGACUACAAAGUGAGUAUUAGUAAGGAUAGGCAAGCUUUUGUUAUUUUCCUUUUGUCUGUUUUGAAUCCCUCACAGUGUUAUUUAAAUGUAUCUCUUACUCAGUACAGUUGUAAUUAUUGUCU
Molecule: long non-coding RNA, 1919 nt
Organism: Rhineura floridana
Lineage: Eukaryota; Metazoa; Chordata; Lepidosauria; Squamata; Rhineuridae
Exons: 3
Source: RefSeq, a predicted model, not a curated record